CCUUCGGGUCGUAAAGCACUUUCGCCUGGGAACAAGGGAAGUAGGCUAAUAUCCUGCGGACUUGAGGGUACCAGGUAAAGAAGCACCGGCUAACUACGUGC
This 101-nucleotide ribosomal RNA is filed under the name uncultured bacterium. Its description in RNAcentral is "partial 16S ribosomal RNA". The record is from RNAcentral.